GUGUGCGCCUGAGGCUGUUGGCUGCGGUCUUGAAACGGGCUCUGGGAGCUUCCUCUGCGCGGUCGGCCCUGGCUGAGGCGUCCCGGGCUGCGCGCGGGGCUCGGCGCUGCGCAGUGUCCGGUGUCCUCUCGGUCCGGAGCUUCUCCAGAGGAGGAGCGGCUCGUGCGCCCCCAGACCUCCGGUACUGGGAGACUCGGGCCCUCCUGUAAGAGACCUGAGCGCGGAGCGUUAUGGGCACCCGGUGAAUGAGCAAAUGGCAGGGAAAACCGUGCAGCCCCAUGGACUGCGGGCUCUUCCUUCACGACUAGCAAAAGCUUUGACACCCUUUCUCCUGCGUACGCGUGUCUGUGUGCGUGUAAGCUGUGGCUGGGUGCGGGGGGCUGUGUACGUGUCUGUGUGUGGUGUGUGUGGAGUGUUUGAGGCAGGUGUGUGGUGUUUCAGGUGUGUGUGCAUGUGUGGUGUUUGAGGUGUGUGUGUGUGUUUUUGUAGUGUUUGAGGGAUAUGUGUGUGUGGUGUUUGAGGUGUGUGUAGUGUUUGAGGCACGUAUGUGUGUGGUGUUGGGUGUGUGUGGUGUUAGAGGUGUGGCGUAUGUGUGUUUGCGGUGGUUGAGGUGUGUGUGUGUGUCUGGUGUUUAGGGUGUGUCUGUUGUGUGCGUGUGGUGGUGGAGGCGUGGUGUGGUGUGGAAUGUGUGUCUGGGGUCCAGUCUGGCCUGUUGCAGGGUUACGCUGCUGGGGAAAAACUCAUCUGAGGACAACGUGAUUGGGUCCUCGCUCCCUCGUUGGGCAGCCUUGGACUUAACCUUUUUGAUCUUGAAGGAAAACACAAUAUGUCACCUCCAAAUAUAUUUCCUUGACACGGUUCAAGACAGUUACUCAGAAGGACUGGAAAUAGAAGAAUAGCUGAAAAGCUGUCUUUUGUGGGGGAGAUUUGCAUCUGUGGAGAGAAUCUACACUGAUGCGGCCAGGCCUCCUCUGAGGCCCUCCUUGCCUGAUCUGGGAAGAGUAACAGUCUGACGCCUUUAAAGGCCUGAAGGGAACAUUCACCAUCUGUUCUCUCUCAGGGCUGCUACCUGUGAGGUUUCAUCUGUAGAACAAGGCCACCUUUGCUAGCCAGGCCUCCUCUGCUCUCCCUCCUGUAACCGGUCUUGCCACUGGUCACCUGAUUUUCCACCAUAAACUGUGGCCAUACUUUGAGCCCAUGUUCUUUCUGUAACCUCAAGAUGGUAUAUAAGCUUCCGAACCCCAUUGGGAGGUUGGGGUCAUCACUCUGGUUCUCCCUGUGUGCAUGAAUAAAUCUGUAUGCCUUUUUUCUUACUAACCUGGCUUUUGUCAGUUGAUUUUCUGUGAACUCAGAAUGCAGAAAAGUUUUUCUCUAGGCUCCUACAGUUUUGGUGCAGUCGGUAGGAUAACUAAAGUCACUCUCCUGGGAGCCUCCGUCAGGGGAACCCAGGAGCCGACAAGCUGGCAGAAAGAAGGGUAAGAAGGUCUUAGCAGCCAGGCUCCCGGCCUCUCUGGAAUCUUGUCAAGCCGACGGUAAAAAUGUCUGUUUACCUUGUUUUCCUCUUCAAAGUUUUAAUGAGAGAAAUGUAUUUAUGUGAUUAGUUUUGUAUUCAUAUUGUUUGAUUGCUUU
RNAcentral lists this long non-coding RNA (1629 nucleotides) under Homo sapiens (human). RNAcentral describes it as "non-protein coding lnc-MAPK8IP2-2:1". Lineage: Eukaryota; Metazoa; Chordata; Mammalia; Primates; Hominidae. The record is from RNAcentral.